GGGAGAAUCUCCUGACUUCCAGGAGAGCACCAUGGGAGAGAUGGUCUCUCUUCUUCCGUAAUGCCUGGAACCACGGCCGCCAUCUUGUAACCAGCAUGAGGACAAAGCCAACGUCAUGGUGGGCAAGACAAGGUGACAGGAAGGACCUAGCUCCUUGAGGACACCUCUGGGCCAUGGACCAGCCAAGCCUGAAGCCUCCCUGUAACUUCCUGUUAUGUGACAUCAUACAUAUCCUUAUUCUGGAAUUCUGUCAACUUCCAUGCAACUUCCAUGCCUGUUCCUGAUACAAGACCAGGAAGCUGAAGCUGUGCUGGUGUGCAUGGUGCUUUUGCCCGAGUCAGGGAAGCCGUAUCUUCCCCAGCCUGUGGAGUGGGCUACAGUUGGCUUUCAACCCAAACUGGCCCCCUACUCCAGGAACCCCCACACAGCAGACAGCCCACACAGCGGUCACAGAGAACAUCUGGCAAAGUCCCCAGGUCCCCCUGCCAGACUGGUACACCUGCAGAGACCGAGAGCUCCCUCCCUCCAUUCCAGAUAAUGCUGGCCUCAGAGAAGUUCAGGUGGGGGCGGGGGUGCCAAGGGCUGAAUGCAACCCCCCUCCACCCCAGCUCAGUCCGCCCUUCAUGUGUGCUUUGUUUUGAACAAUUCACAUUUCCUCGAGUCUUACAAAGUGCUAUUUCCGUGCAACUUCGAGCCCCACCCCACUUCCUUUCCAACCAGAGUGACCCCUGCAUAGCUCUAAUGGAAACCCUGGAGCCGACGAGGCUGGGGCCUGAGCACCUCCGACCAUGCUCCCCCUCGCGUCUACCCAACCCGGCCCGGGGCCGCUGCCCGCUCUCGGCUCAGCUGUGGACCUGACGGAGCCAGGACACCGUAAAGAUGCAGCUGUGUGCAGUAGUCAAAGAUAGGAGUUUGGAGUCAGUUGGAUACAAGUUCGGCUUGUUGUCAGCUGUGUGACUUUCAGCAAGUGACUUCACCUCUCUAGUCCUGUCUACGAAACAGGGAUAAC
Bos taurus (domestic cattle) is the source of this 1009-nucleotide long non-coding RNA. The record is from Ensembl. Lineage: Eukaryota; Metazoa; Chordata; Mammalia; Artiodactyla; Bovidae.